This 510-nucleotide ribosomal RNA is filed under the name Acontista cordillerae. RNAcentral describes it as "partial 16S ribosomal RNA". The stretch from base 383 to 510 matches the Rfam family "Bacterial large subunit ribosomal RNA", at positions 2473 to 2600 of the family's 2925-position model. Lineage: Eukaryota; Metazoa; Arthropoda; Insecta; Mantodea; Acanthopidae. The record is from RNAcentral.
GGUUUCUUGAUUAUAUGGGAAAUUUAACCUGCCCACUGAAUAAUUAUUGAAGGGCCGCAGUAAUUUGACUGUGCAAAGGUAGCAUAAUCAUUAGUCUUUUAAUUGGAGGCUGGCAUGAAUGGUUGGACGAGGUAAAUGCUAUUUUAUAUUAAAAAGUUGAAUUUUGAUUUUAAGUAAAAAGACUUAAAUGUUAUUAAGGGACGAGAAGACCCUAUAGAGUUUAAUAAAUGUAAUUUUAAUUAAGUUUUUAUUGAAUUUUUAGUUAUUAAUAAAUUUAUUUAGUUGGGGUGAUAAAAAGAUAAUUAAACUCUUUUUAAAAUUUAAUAUCUAUAAAUAGAUUAAUGAUCCAUUAAUAAUGAUUAUAAGACUAAAUUACCUUAGGGAUAACAGCAUAAUUUCUUUUAAGAGUUCUUAUUAAAAAGGAAGUUUAUGACCUCGAUGUUGGAUUAAGAUAAAUUUUAGGUGUAGUUGUUUAAAUAAUUAGGUCUGUUCGACCUUUAAAAUCUUACA